RNAcentral lists this small nucleolar RNA (131 nucleotides) under Sphenodon punctatus (tuatara). The record is from RNAcentral. Lineage: Eukaryota; Metazoa; Chordata; Lepidosauria; Sphenodontia; Sphenodontidae.
UGUCUCCUCCUCCGGUGGCAGCACAGGGCAAGCCUUCCCUGGCAGCCAGUAGGAGAGACUGAGAGUAAGUCAGAGGAUAGUUGUCAUGUUGACCAGGAGUUGUCAGCUAUGUUUUCCUGCCUCUUACAUUG